UGGGGAAUAUUGCACAAUGGGCGAAAGCCUGAUGCAGCGACGCCGCGUGAGGGAUGACGGCCUUCGGGUUGUAAACCUCUUUCGCCAGGGACGAAGCGUGAGUGACGGUACCUGGAGAAGAAGCACCGGCUAACUACGUGCCAGCAGCCGCGGUAAUACGUAGGGUGCGAGCGUUGUCCGGAAUUAUUGGGCGUAAAGAGCUCGUAGGCGGUUUGUUGCGUCGACUGUGAAAACCUGGGGCUUAACUCUGGGCUUGCAGUCGAUACGGGCAGACUUGAGUUCGGUAGGGGAGACUGGAAUUCCUGGUGUAGCGGUGAAAUGCGCAGAUAUCAGGAGGAACACCGGUGGCGAAGGCGGGUCUCUGGGCCGAUACUGACGCUGAGGAGCGAAAGCGUGGGGAGCGAACAGGAUUAGAUACCCUGGUAGUCCACGCUGUAAACGUUGGGCGCUAGGUGUGGGGGACAUUCACGUUCUCCGUGCCGUAGCUAACGCAUUAAGCGCCCCGCCUGGGGAGUACGGCCGCAAGGCUAA
Molecule: ribosomal RNA, 531 nt
Filed under: uncultured Actinophytocola sp.
Lineage: Bacteria; Bacillati; Actinomycetota; Actinomycetes; Pseudonocardiales; Pseudonocardiaceae
Description: bacterial SSU rRNA
Rfam family: Bacterial small subunit ribosomal RNA
Source: RNAcentral